CAGCAGCCGCCGCGGUAAUACGAAGGGCGCAAGCGUUACUCGGAAUUACUGGGCGUAAAGCGUGCGUAGGUGAUGGUUUAAGUCCGUUGUGAAAGCCCUGGGCUCAACCUGGGACUUGCAGUGGAUACUGGGUCACUAGAGUGUGGUAGAGGAUAGUGGAAUUUCCGGUGUAGCAGUGAAAUGCGUAGAGAUCGGAAGGAACAUCUGUGGCGAAGGCGACUAUCUGGGCCAACACUGACACUGAGGCACGAAAGCGUGGGGAGCAAACAGGAUUAGAUACCCCGGUAGUCCCUGUCUCUUAUAC
Molecule: ribosomal RNA, 304 nt
Filed under: uncultured bacterium
Lineage: Bacteria
Description: partial 16S ribosomal RNA
Rfam family: Bacterial small subunit ribosomal RNA
Source: RNAcentral